RNAcentral lists this ribosomal RNA (253 nucleotides) under uncultured bacterium. RNAcentral's name for it is "partial 16S ribosomal RNA". It matches the Rfam family "Bacterial small subunit ribosomal RNA", at positions 524 to 776 of the family's 1533-position model. The record is from RNAcentral.
UACGAAGGGGGCUAGCGUUGCUCGGAAUCACUGGGCGUAAAGCGCACGUAGGCGGACCCUUAAGUCGGUGGUGAAAUCCUGGAGCUCAACUCCAGAACUGCCUUCGAUACUGAGAGUCUCGAGUCCGAGAGAGGUGAGUGGAACUGCGAGUGUAGAGGUGAAAUUCGUAGAUAUUCGCAAGAACACCAGUGGCGAAGGCGGCUCACUGGCUCGGUACUGACGCUGAGGUGCGAAAGCGUGGGGAGCAAACAGG